This 402-nucleotide ribosomal RNA is filed under the name bacterium. Its description in RNAcentral is "partial 16S ribosomal RNA". It matches the Rfam family "Bacterial small subunit ribosomal RNA", at positions 355 to 776 of the family's 1533-position model. The record is from RNAcentral. RNAcentral also lists the same sequence under 1 other name.
UGGGGAAUAUUGCACAAUGGAGGGAACUCUGAUGCAGCGACGCCGCGUGAACGAAGAAGGCUUUCGAGUCGUAAAGUUCUUUUAUAUGGGAAGAUAAUGACGGUACCAUAAGAAAAAGCCCGGCUAACUACGUGCCAGCAGCCGCGGUAAUACGUAGGGGGCUAGCGUUGUCCGGAAUCACUGGGCGUAAAGGGUUCGCAGGCGGAAAUGCAAGUCAGGUGUAAAAGGCAGUAGCUUAACUACUGUAAGCAUUUGAAACUGCAUAUCUUGAGAAGAGUAGAGGUAAGUGGAAUUUUUAGUGUAGCGGUGAAAUGCGUAGAUAUUAAAAAGAAUACCGGUGGCGAAGGCGACUUACUGGGCUCAUUCUGACGCUGAGGAACGAAAGCGUGGGUAGCAAACAGG